GCGGCGGCGAGGGGCGGCAACGCCGACCUGUUCAGGAUGCUGCUGGACCACGCCAUGUCCCCGAGGUGCUCGACGUAUGGUCGCGACGGGGAUGGCGCCGGCGCCGGCGGCCGCGCCUCGGUGUUCCGGCUGGAGAUGAUGAGCAGGGCUGUACACGCUGCCGCCAGAGGAGGGAGCGUGCGGAUGCUGAAGGAGCUCAUCGACGGUCGCUCCGACGUGUCGGCGUAUCUUGAUAUCCGUGGAUCCACCGUGCUUCAUGCAGCUGCUGGGAGAGGGCAGCUCGAGGUUGUCAAGUACCUGAUGGCCUCUUUCGACAUGAUCAACUCAACCGACAACCAAGGGAACACUGCACUACAUGUAGCGGCCUACCGAGGGCACCUGCCCGUUGUAAACGCACUGGUUGCUGCAUCUCCAUCAGCCAUAUCAGCUGUCAACAAUGCAGGCGAUACGUUCCUCCACUCGGCGAUCGCAGGGUUCAGAACCCCGGGGUUCCGUCGGCUCGACCGGCAGCUGGAGCUCACCAAGCAUCUCAUUCGAGAGAGAGCCGCAGACAUCAGGAAGAUCAUCAACCUGAGAAACGACGCGGGCCUCACCGCCCUGCACAUGGCUGUGGUUGGCUGCGUGCACCCGGACCUCGUCGAGCUCCUGAUGACCACGCCGUCCAUCGACCUUAACGUCGAAGAUGCUGACGGCAUGACCCCGCUGGCGCUGCUCAAGGAGCAGCUGCGAUCAACCACGUCGGAGAGGCUCAUCAAGCAGAUAGUCUCCGCCGGAGGGGUGCUGAGCUCGAGCGUGCUGAGAAGCCGGUCGGCCGUCGUUUCGCAGAUAAAGAUGCGGGGAGGGAUUGCGAUCAGUCCGGGCACCAUGUUCAGGAUAUCGGAUGCGGAGAUAUUGUUGCACUCGGGCAUUGCGGCGACGGAGUCCCGAAGGGCUAGCUCGUGCUCUAGCGAUGGCAAGUGUGACCCUGUACAUGCGGAUGCAAACGGCGAGGAGAACCAUGGAUCGUCGGAGAAGAGGCUCAGCUCUGCCAGCCGAGCCAAGGACCGUCUCAAGAUGAUGCUGCGGUGGCCUCGCCACAGGACGCCGAGGAAAUCCGAGGACGGCGGCCCGCUGGACACCAUCAAGAAGCUGAACAAGCAUGUCGCCGACACCCCGACCCCGCUCAGGCAGGCCUUCACCAAGACGACGGCGCUCAACAACAAGCGCACGCUCGCGGUCAAAAGCUCCGCCCCCAGCUCGGCCAGCAAGAAGAAGCUCAUCCACGGCAUCAUGGAGGCGAUGCCGCACCUCGCGGCCUCAUUGCCAACGACCCGGUCCCCGCCGAGCACGCUCCCGAGGUCCUCCAUGUCCUCCGCGCCGACAUCCACCAAGCUCAAGGACAUCUGCUUCGAAGAAGAGGAGAGCACGAUGGUGACGCCGCCGUUCGGCAAGCUCAAGGACAUCAUCCUGGACAACGACGACGGCGCGGACGAUCCGUCGUGCUCGAACUCGUCCUUGGCCGACGAGGGGGUCGGCGUGGCCGCCCGGAGGAACCACGGCUGCGGGAACGGGAGGCUCAUCAACAUCUGCUUCGGCGCGCAGGGGCUCACGGUGGAAGACUCUGCCAGCGGGCAGCAGACGAGCAAGAUGUUCAAGCAGCAGUGCCUCCGGGUGUCCUGA
RNAcentral lists this ribosomal RNA (1659 nucleotides) under Triticum aestivum (bread wheat). RNAcentral describes it as "partial small subunit ribosomal RNA". Lineage: Eukaryota; Viridiplantae; Streptophyta; Magnoliopsida; Poales; Poaceae. The record is from RNAcentral.